UAUCUCCAUGAGAGCAAUCUCCAAUUCUUCAGCUCUACCAC
Molecule: small RNA, 41 nt
Filed under: Arabidopsis thaliana (thale cress)
Lineage: Eukaryota; Viridiplantae; Streptophyta; Magnoliopsida; Brassicales; Brassicaceae
Description: ATSL182920
Source: RNAcentral